AACGCAACUUGCGCCCUCCGGUAUUCCGGAGGGCAUGCCUGUUUGAGUGUCAUGAAACCUCAAUCCCCUCGGGUUCUGCCCUUGCGGUGAUUGGACUUGGGCGUUGCCGGUUCUGCCGGCUCGCCUCAAAGGCGUUAGUGGGAUCAGUGCCCCCGAUCGGCGUAAUAAGUUUCGCUGAGGAGGGACGCGGCGUGCCCGCUCACAACCCUCUCCCUCGUGGAGAAACACUCUUUGAUCUGACCUCAAAUCAGGUAGGACUACCCGCUGAACUUAA
Molecule: unclassified non-coding RNA, 274 nt
Filed under: uncultured fungus
Lineage: Eukaryota; Fungi
Description: partial contains 5.8S ribosomal RNA, internal transcribed spacer 2, and large subunit ribosomal RNA
Rfam family: 5.8S ribosomal RNA (bases 1-52)
Source: RNAcentral